UAGGCUACAAUUGGGAAGAUCAUAGUAUUGAAGAGCAUUGUCAGAGUUCUAGAAGACAUGUAAGGUAUGAAAACGGUCAUAGUGGAGACAAACCCUCUGAAGAUACUCAAUAUCACGAAGUCUUUGCACAUCACAGUAGUCCCCACACUUAUAAAAGUAUGAAUAAUGCCAGGUGUCCAUUUACGAGGUGGACAAGCAGGACUGUCAAAAAUUCAGCACCACUAGCAUGGACGGGGCCGUGAUGAUCUGGGAUUUCACGGUCGAGACCUGUCCCAGGAGAAUCCAUAUUUACCCACAUGGAAGCCUAUGAGGAGUUCACCACUGAUUGAAUAUACCUAACCUUGCUAUGCCAAGGCCCCAUAAAACGCAGAAGAGAUAGAACAAUAAAAAAACAACAUCUCUCCAUGCUCAGUGAUGUUUUGGAUGGGUCUAA
This is a long non-coding RNA of Meriones unguiculatus (Mongolian gerbil), 433 nucleotides long. RefSeq lists it as uncharacterized. The record is from RefSeq and is a predicted model, not a curated record. The transcript is spliced from 4 exons. Lineage: Eukaryota; Metazoa; Chordata; Mammalia; Rodentia; Muridae.